This 1667-nucleotide ribosomal RNA is filed under the name Dictyna brevitarsa. RNAcentral's name for it is "SSU rRNA". It matches the Rfam family "Eukaryotic small subunit ribosomal RNA". The record is from RNAcentral. Lineage: Eukaryota; Metazoa; Arthropoda; Arachnida; Araneae; Dictynidae.
AGCCAUGCAUGUCUAAGUACAGGCCGCAAUAAGGCGAAACCGCGAAUGGCUCAUUAAAUCAGUUAUGGUUCCUUGGAUCGUACUUUGUUACUUGGAUAACUGUGGUAAUUCUAGAGCUAAUACAUGCAGCAGAGCUCCGACCCUCGGGAACGAGCGCUUUUAUUAGACCAAAACCGAUCGGGCCUCGCGUCCGUUUCUUGUGGUGACUCUGAAUAACUUUGGGCUGAUCGUACGGGCCCGUCCCGGCGACGUAUCUUUCAAGUGUCUGCCUUAUCAACUUUCGAUGGUAGGUUACGCGCCUACCAUGGUCGUAACGGGUGACGGGGAAUCAGGGUUCGAUUCCGGAGAGGGAGCCUGAGAAACGGCUACCACAUCCAAGGAAGGCAGCAGGCGCGCAAAUUACCCACUCCCAGAUCGGGGAGGUAGUGACGAAAAAUAACAAUACGGGACUCUUAUGAGACCCCGUAAUUGGAAUGAGUACACUCUAAAACCUUUAACGAGGAUCCAUUCGAGGGCAAGUCUGGUGCCAGCAGCCGCGGUAACCCCAGCUCGAAUAGCGUAUAUUAAAGUUGUUGCGGUUAAAAAGCUCGUAGUUGGAUCUCAGUUCCAGACGGGCGGUCCGCCUACCGGUGGUCACUGUCCGUUCUGAACAGCAGGCCGGUUCCCCUGGAUGAUCUUCACCGGUUGUCUUGGGCGACUGGCAAGUUUACUUUGAAAAAAUUAGAGUGCUCAAAGCAGGCGCGAAGCCUGAAUAAUGGUGCAUGGAAUAAUGGAAUAGGACCUCGGUUCUAUUUUGUUGGUUUUCUGAACGCGAGGUAAUGAUUGAGAGGGACAGACGGGGGCAUUCGUAUUGCGUCGAUAGAGGUGCCAAGAAUGUUUCCGUUAAUCAAGAACGAAAGUUAGAGGAUCGAAGGCGAUUAGAUACCGCCCUAGUUCUAACCAUAAACGAUGCCAGCUAGCGAUCCGGUCRUUUUCUCAAAACGAGUGGCCGGGCAGCUUCCGGGAAACCAAAGCUUUUGGGUUCCGGGGGGAGUAUGGUUGCAAAGCUGAAACUUAAAGGAAUAGACGGAAGGGCACCACCAGGAAUGGAGCCUGCGGCUUAAUUUGACUCAACACGGGAAAACUCACCCGGCCCGGACACAGGAAGGAUUGACAGAUUGAGAGCUCUUUCUUGAUUCUGUGGGUGGUGGUGCAUGGCCGCUCUUAGUUCGUGGAGCGAUUUGUCUGGUUAAUUCCGAUAACGAACGAGACUCCAGCCUACUAAUUAGUCGUUCCGAUCUCGUAGGUCGGACGUGCUUCUUAGAGGGAUUAACGGCGUCUAGCCGAGCGAGACGGAGCAAUAGCAGGUCUGUGAUGCCCUUAGAUGUCCGGGGCCGCACGCGCGCUACAAUGAGAGAGUCAUCGCGCGAUACCCCUGUUCGAGGGAACCGGGUAAACGUCUGAAACUCUCUCCCGCUUGGGACCGAGCUCUGCAAUUGGCUCGUGAACGAGGAAUUCCUAGUAAGUGCGAGUCAUCAGCUCGCGUUGACUACGUCCCUGCCCUUUGUACUCAUCGCCCGUCGCUAUUACCGAUUGAAUGGUUCAGUGAGUUCCUCGGACCGACCGUCGGGGCUUCCCUUGGGGUCGAACCGUGCGGAUGGAAAGUUGAACGAACUCGAUCAUUUAGA